This 81-nucleotide transfer RNA is filed under the name Synechococcus sp. OH20. Its description in RNAcentral is "tRNA-Leu". It matches the Rfam family "tRNA". From Rfam's summary of the family: Transfer RNA (tRNA) molecules are approximately 80 nucleotides in length. Their secondary structure includes four short double-helical elements and three loops (D, anti-codon, and T loops). Further hydrogen bonds mediate the characteristic L-shaped molecular structure. tRNAs have two regions of fundamental functional importance: the anti-codon, which is responsible for specific mRNA codon recognition, and the 3' end, to which the tRNAs corresponding amino acid is attached (by aminoacyl-tRNA synthetases). tRNAs cope with the degeneracy of the genetic code in two manners: having more than one tRNA (with a specific anti-codon) for a particular amino acid; and 'wobble' base-pairing, i.e. permitting non-standard base-pairing at the 3rd anti-codon position. The record is from RNAcentral. RNAcentral also lists the same sequence under 35 other names. Lineage: Bacteria; Bacillati; Cyanobacteriota; Cyanophyceae; Synechococcales; Synechococcaceae.
GCGGACGUGGCGGAACGGCAGACGCGCUAGACUUAGGAUCUAGUGCCGCAAGGCGUAAGGGUUCAAGUCCCUUCGUCCGCA